UUAGGUUUCAUAAAUAGUGAUGAGUGUGCCUUACCUCUACUCUACCUUCCCAGUUGAUUCGUAGAUUUGGUUUUGCUUGACUCUACGAUUCUUCGAUGUUGGUAAGUAGAGGUUGGGUUACUCUUUUCCUUUAUGAAACCCGUCUUACGAGAUCCUUUACUUCUCUGAGUAUAACUAGUUCUUCUAACUGUAAGGAUUUCACAAAAGCAAU
This 211-nucleotide long non-coding RNA is filed under the name Panax ginseng (ginseng). RNAcentral describes it as "long non-coding RNA (PGIN_LNC019016)". The record is from RNAcentral. Lineage: Eukaryota; Viridiplantae; Streptophyta; Magnoliopsida; Apiales; Araliaceae.